UUUACUUUUAAGUGAAAAGGCUUAAAUAAGUUAGGGGGACGAUAAGACCCUAUAAAACUUUACAGAUAUGAUUAUAUUUAUUAAAAUGGAGUUUAAUAGUAUUUAUUAUUUUAUCUGUUGUGUUGGGGCGACAAAGAUAUAAUAGGGUAACUGUUAGUUUUAUUUAAUAGUGAUAAUUAGUUUAGUUGAUCCUUUAUUAGAGAUUAUAAGAAUAAGUUACUUUAGGGAUAACAGCGUAAUUUUCUUUAAGAGUUCGUAUCGACGAGAAUAGUUGCGACCUCGAUGUUGAAUUAAGAUUUCCUUUAGGCGGAGGAGUUUAAACGGUAGGUCUGUUCGACCUUUAAAAUCUUACGUGAUCUGAUUCAGACC
Molecule: ribosomal RNA, 369 nt
Filed under: Heterocarpus woodmasoni
Lineage: Eukaryota; Metazoa; Arthropoda; Malacostraca; Decapoda; Pandalidae
Description: partial 16S ribosomal RNA
Rfam family: Bacterial large subunit ribosomal RNA
Source: RNAcentral